UUGAAUUUACGCAGAAUACAGGCAGUUUAAUUCUAGAACUUUGUAGCAUGUAGGCUCCCAGGUGUUAUAGAUAUCGCUGUAAAACUGAGUUCUCUCACUGAGUUCUCUCACUGAGUUCAGGAUUAUGUCAGUUAACCUAAAAGUGUCUUUCUUGGAUCAGAUGAAGCUGCCAGGCCUGAUUGAUCUUAGUCUCAUAUUUAUCCUGGUCUCUAAUUCAAAAGGUGACGACUGGUCUGUUAGUGUCGACAGAAUCAUUCAUGCAACAUUGGGUUCAAACGUGACUAUACCGUGUUCCUUUACCUAUCCACUCAAAUACCACACUGAAAAGGUUCAAGUUCACUGGAAAAAGAGCGGGGUAAAACAUAACCUUAAUAUCUUCGACAAAGACUCAAAUGCAUUUGUUUUUCACCCAAAUGACACAUUUGUGCUUGAGAAGUACAGAGGAAAGACCAAACUCACUGGAAAUAAAACCAAAGGUGACUGCACCCUUGAGAUCUUUAACAUCUCGGAGUAUGUGCCAAAUAUCUAUGUGAGAGUUAUUGCAAAAAACAAUUACAGUUUCUGGAAAGAUACUGUCACCAUUCAUGUGUCUGAGCCAGGUGGUAAACCAGUCAGUCUUAAGCCAGAUUUGAAAUCAGAACCAUCACCCAAAUAUGAAGCAACAACAACAGACAUGGCAGUUGUCACCACAGGGGGCAUGACCAGGGAGGCUUCACUGUAUACGGCUAUCUUUGUUCCAGUCGCUGCACUUCUGCUCAUUAUUGUUGUCGCUGCAGUCGUCUUUCGCAUAAAAAAAAGAAGGUCACAAUCUUUUACCAGGGAGGAAUCUGGAUAUUAUGAAAAUGUUAGCCGAGCAUCAUCAAACCAAGCCAAAAGGUUUGUUUCAUGAGAAGAAUCUUGCAUAAAACAAGACAACAAUACACUUUCUGAAGUGAAGGCCAUUGAUGAACCUGUCUACAUCAACAUUGAGGCCAUACCAGGUCAGAUGGAUCAACGUAUGGAUCACACAGACAAUAUAUAUGGAAAUGUGGAUUAUGAAAAAUAGCAGAAAAGCUGCAUCACAAAAAGACAACAAAUGAAUAAGAACUUAAAAUCAAGCAAUGGGGGCUUAUAUUUCAAAAGAGAAAUAAAAAAGGUAGAGCUGGGAGUCAAACUUACCUGCUCCAUGGCCCAUAUUAAAGGCUAGCAAUGUCCCCAUGUAGCUGUGAGCAUAACAUUGUCAUGACCAAAAGGGAUGAUAGUAAAUCAAUUAAAAUAUAACACAAGUUAAACAAUUUUUUUUUAUCUAAGCCUAUUGCCUUACCUUACAUGACAUAGGAUCCUCUGGUUGUUUUUUUUUUUUAUUGUUUAUAUGUUGCAGUCAGAGAUGGGAAGUAACGAAGUACAAAUACUUCGUU
RNA transcript from Perca fluviatilis (European perch), 1397 nucleotides. RefSeq lists it as uncharacterized. The record is from RefSeq and is a predicted model, not a curated record. Lineage: Eukaryota; Metazoa; Chordata; Actinopteri; Perciformes; Percidae. The transcript is spliced from 8 exons.